Macrobrachium nipponense is the source of this 9144-nucleotide RNA transcript. It is a transcript of the gene named F-box only protein 30-like, with no coding region annotated. The record is from RefSeq and is a predicted model, not a curated record. NCBI's taxonomy places the organism in Eukaryota, Metazoa, Arthropoda, Malacostraca, Decapoda, Palaemonidae. The transcript has 9 exons.
AUUACGUAUAAGAAUUUGCUUAUGCAACAAACGUAAUGCUUUAAUGAAUAUUAGCUACCUCAGCUGAGGAUUGGCUAACAAAGAAUGGAGGAAAAUGUGAGAAAAUGUUUGUGUAUACUGUACGCAGAAGGCAAAAGAACUUUUUAUUAUUUUAUUAUUGUGGUACAUUAUUUUAACGAGACUACCGAGACGCAUUCCUGGACUCUAGCCAGCGUCGUAUAAAGGAUUUUUUCAUACAGGUGAAAACUGGAGGAAGGGAAAGAUUUAAUAAGGUUAAAGAGAUGUACAUAUUGUUAUUUUACCCAAGAAGAUUAGCUAGACCAUGAGUCACUUUGCUAGUCUUUUAUAGCUUGUCUGCAAGAUUUGUUCUUAAAUGAGAGAAAAAAAAAGUCCUGGAAAUUACACAGCAAAGUGAGAAGUGUCAAAAUGGAAUGGAUAAAAAUUACAAGGCAUAGGACUAUAUAGAUGAGGCCAAAAGAACACGGCAGUGAAUCUUCAGUAUCACACAAUAAUACACAAUGUAAGUAGUAUACCCCAAUAUGGGGUGGAGAGCUAAGCAAAAAGAUAGUGAAGGAAAUGGAUGAAAGAUAAAAGAGAAGAUAACAAUGCAGCUGGGGCUUAAAUGGAUGCUGCAGUGAACAUUUAGUACGCAAUUCUUACAAAACAAAAUUUUGUAUAGAAAAAUUUACUGUGCUCUCUAUCAUUUUCCCCUCAUGAGUAACUUCUUCCAGACACUUCUAGAAGAAUCUAUAAAUUUGACUCAUAGGUCUAGGUAAAUGUAUAACAUAAAGUAUUAUAAAAGCUCUGUACAUGGUGCUAAAGCAACCAAGCACAUCAUACCGCUCAUUGCUUCAGCAUCUAAGGAUUUUAAUACUACAUAAUGCUUGGGUAUUGCAUCACUUAACAUUGUCUUGAAUGAUGGAAGUUGAACUCCUGACUACUGUGGUAUUUUUCUAAAUAUUUCAAAAAUUAUACAUGGCUAAACUGAAUGCAGAACUAGAUGAUUUUACUUCAUGACUUGUGAUGGAUAUUUAAUAUACGUACUAAUAAUUUUGCUACCACAUUGUUAUUUGUGGGAAACUGUGUCUUAUCCCUGUAAAAAUUGAAUUCUAAUGCAGUAGUGACUAUUAUAACCAAGACCAUCAAAACAACCCUGUCCAUUACUCUUUUACCCAUACAGAAAUCAAGAGAAAACCUCGUAAUGAUGAUGUUUCUCUGAUGUGCUGUGUCCAUGGAAUUCUCAAGAACUUAUGCAUGUUUUGCCGGGAUGAUCCUGAAGAUCCUCAUUAUAAAAUGGGGAAGGUGUGGAGAGAACGUGUGACCUGUAAAAAGCCAGGCGAAAUAAAGUGGACUGUUGAAUCAUGUAUAGAAAAGGUAAGGAAGCGAAAUCCGUUUGGCGUAUAUUCUUACAAGAAAUAUGAAUCAGAUGAAGAAGAGGAGGAUGAGGAAAGCAUGAAAUCACUUGACAAGAUGAACCUUAUUCUAGAUGAGCAUGGUAAACCAGUUGGAACUCGAGAGAGGUUUCAAACUCCUCCUCCCGCACCACUAACUUCAAAAGGGCUGACCAUGGAGCUUGGUAUCAAGCAUUAUUCCAGACACCAGACAAAGCCAAGAGCAAUGUUUACUUUCCAGUGUUUACAGGAAGUUCGGCGUUCCGAAUUUAGUAGUCAUUAUCAGAAUGUUCACAGUGAGAUUCAGGAGGGUCUAGAGGGAUGGCUUCUCCACAGAUGUCCUUUACACUUGAUUGGAUGUCCGUAUUCCUGUGUCAUGCUCCAUCCUGGGAGGAAGGAUGGUGAUGUGAUAUAUUGUGAUUCCCUCAAAGCAUUUGGUGUUCGACCAAAGUUAACUUAUGAACCUGCAUCAUGCGGAGGCCUUCCCAGAUCCCGGUCUCCAAGUGUUGAAAAAACUUCCAGCAGCUUUAGUCAGAUGAGUCUAACACCAUCGAAAAGAACAUUAAAACCUAUACCAGAAGGUCAUGGAAACCGUCACCUACAGGUGGAACAUUAUUAUGCAUCUAGUUUACAUUUGACGUAUUUGCCGUUCGAGGUAUUGCUACGAAUUGCCAGCUUCUUAGAUGGUUUUAGCUUGAACAAUUUAUCAUUAUCAUGCCGACUGAUGAGAGAUAUAUGCUUUUCUUUGCUAAAUGAGCGUGGACUUAUCGUUUUAGAAUGGAUACGGUAUAUUGAAGAUGGGAAAGUACGGUGGAGACAAGGGAAAAAGAGAUGUUUCUUCAGCAAGUCUUUCGAACCCAUAGAUCAAUGGGGUUUCAAGUCUGUAUCUCAUAUGGCCAACCACUUGAAAGUGUGUCCUUUUAAUGUUCGACACAUUGCCGAAAACAAAUUCACAUAUGGUCAUUUCAAGAGACCUCGCAAGCCAGCUACGUAAAAGCUUUCAUACCACUUUCAUCUGUUUGCCGAUGUUCACUAGGUAACAUGGAACUCAUUUGUCUGAAUGCCUUAACUAGCGACAAGCUGCCAUAGAAACUGCCAAUCAUCGACCUUAACUUGGGAUUACUCCAAGUAGAAGAAUAUCCAAAAGGAAGUAGUAAAGUGAAUAACUUCUGUUUUACACCAAGCUCUGUGUUCUGACCAUUGUUGUAUGUAUCUUAUUUGUAUUAGUACACCUUCAGCUUAUGGAACUUGUGAGGAUUUACAACUAAAAUUCAAGUAUCCGUUUGGAAAUAUAGUUUUUAGAUUUAACUAAAUAAAUCUAAAAAUAUAUGCAAAUAACCCAUGAUGCCAUAGUUGGGGUUACUACAUGUUGGUCCAGCCACAUGAAUGGAAAAGAUUUUUGACAAGCACUUACAGUUCCAUUUUAUUUAAUUAGUGCUAGAAUUCAGUGAGAUUGAUAAGAUUUUAUCUGAGACAAUUCAAGGUCUUUUUGAACCUUUCAUAUCAAUCCUCAGCUGUUUGUCACGUUCAGUAGUAACAAUCAAAAAGCUUGCUAGUGUAUUAUGAGACACCAGACUGCAAUUUAAGUAUUCAUUUACACCUUGGGAAAUAUUUCAGGCUAUUAUCCAAAAUGUCAAAAAUAAUGAAGGUACUAAUUGUAUUUCUGCAUAUUCUGUGGAGUUAGAAUGGGAGUCAUAUCUCACUAGGGCCUUUUCUAAAACUAAAGAUUCAAAAUCUUGAUCUUGAUACUGGGUUUCCCUCUGAACUCUGAAUAGAAUAAUCUACAACUCAUUCUUUUUCCAUAUAAUUUGAGUACUGAUUGAUAUUAAAAUAAAUCGCUAGAAAUAUUGUUUGGCUUGAUUCAAGUUUAAGUUUAGGUGAAUUUAAUACAAAGAUGAGAUGGUUAGGUGAUGGACCCAGUGUCUUACCUUGUGAAUAUCCAGCAAUACUGCUGCAACAUGGCAUCUCAGGAAGUGUUGAGAAGCCAGUGUUUCAAUUUUCCUUACCACCAUCAUUAAUAUUUUCAUGUUGGAGGUCCCUGGCUCAGUAUCCAUUCUGUCCAGGUCUGUACAUACUCUUACUUUAUGAUUUCCUGUGCCUUUCUUGUUUUAAAUCACUGUUUUCGUUAGAAUUGUCUGAAAAAAAACCCUAUCCUAUUUAUGCAAAGACUAAUAGGAAAAGCAAAAAAUUUCUUUUGUCCAGCUUAGGUCUAAGAACACAAGAAUACUGAGGAUAAAGAAUGGAAAAAGGAGCUUUGUACGUAGGCUGAAGCUAUUAAUAGUUAGGACGGAAUUAGCCACUGUCUCAUAGAUGCCUCAUACGUACUAUGAAUUUAUUUUUAAUAUACCAUAGCCCAAGACCCAUCAUCAUGGUAUUGUAGUUGCUGUACUGUAGGAAUACAAAAAGGAAUAAUAUUGUGUAGCAAAAAUGCCUAACUAUAGACUCCUGGUUUAUGAUGUUCUGUUUUCAUACCCUGUAAGUGCCAAGGAAGUUUUAAACCAGACAUGAAAUGACUCAAAGCUGAAAACAAAUAUUACAAUAUUUAGUUUUUUUCAGGUUUUGUGGAUUUUAUGGUAUAUAUAAGACAAAAUUUAACUUAAUCACUUAGUCUCAGCUUGUAGUUACAAAUGGUAGUGAACCUAAUCCAAAGUUAACGACAGAUUUAUUACAAAGCAUUAGGAAUUCACAUUAAUUUCAGUACAAAUAGGCUUGCUUUAGAAAUUAAAUAACAUGAAUUUUUAUUACAUAUUAUAUAACUGUUUGCUUGAAGUAGAGUAAUAUAAAUUUUUGAAAGGAAUUAAUAACUAUGAAUUUUUAAGAUCUGACAGAAAAGUUUACGGGUGUUAAUGGAAACAUUUUACAAAUCUGUAGGAUUGUAAUACACCAUGUAAUAAUAAAUCAUGGCUAAUGAAUUACAAUCUUCUUGAGCUUGAAAAGUAUUUAUUUGCCCCGGUGAUGAAUGGUAAGCAUAGUACAGUGCUGUAUUUUCAAAUUUCCAGUACACAAAGAGAAUGAUGUUAUUUGUACUUCCAGCCUCGAAAACUGUACAUAAAAAGAUGAAAACAGUUUUCAUAUUUCAUGAGUACAAAGUUCUUUCUUCACUUAUGCAUCUUACUUGGCUUCAUCAUAGCUCAACUGAGUGUUUGAGUUUUUCUUGAAAGAAGAUUUUCUUUGGCAUUCUUUAACUAAGGUGGAACCUCACCCCAACUCUGCCAAAUGUUCUGAAGAUUUUAUCUUAAUCCUCUAUGAGUUAAAGCUCAAAACUUAGCAAUUUGUGGGACUAGGAGGAAGGAUGUCCACUUAAAAUAAAGAGGUUUGUACCUAAGAAACACGAAUGGUAUUAAAAUUUUCUUGUUCAAUUACAGACAAAACUGAAUGUGCAGUCACCAAUGAGGUGGGAGAUCUAUUGGUUUUCUACUGGUUGAGAGAUGGCUAUAAGAACCAGGAAACCUUUGUUGAAAUAAUAAUCUACUUUGACCAGCACUGUUAGAUGCUCACUCAACCAGUGUUAUUUCAAAAUUUACCUUGAACACUGAGUACUAAUAUUAAAUAUAUAUAUAGAAAACUGCCAGACAUGAGUCUGAGUCUCUGCACCUAGGUCUACAUGGUUCUGUCUUAGAUAGUGUUUUAGGGUUCUUAGUAGAGUAUAAAAUGUUCUUUAAUCCAGCCCUCGUUUAUGUCAAAUGUCUGGUUUUGCCCUAUAGAAGACCAUUCUCGUGUGGGUAACAUUGAUGAAAAGUAGUUAUAACAAGCAUAUAUUUAUUGUAUUGUUUGACAGUAGAGAGGCCUGAAAGCCACUUGCUUUAGGAUUUUGAUAAAAGUUCCCUUUUAAAGUUCUGAGAAUCAGCAUAAGGUCCCACUUUGAUAUCUCUUUUUCAAGAUUACUCAAAACAGCUCCUGUCUCUGGUGAGUUAGUUAAAUUGGUGCCUAAUGUCAGCAAAACUAGAAUUGAGAUACAGAUCAGAUUUUGACCUCCCUUAGGGAGAAGACAUGUGAUUAUACUGGAAAAGAAAUAGAGAGGAAAUACAAUAACUUUCUUGCUCUGCACUAAUUGUGUGAAAGUGCCUACUUCGCAUAGGAUGUCUGGUAGCAUGUGUAACACAUCAUGGAACGACUCCUCUUGUUCCUGGUAUGAUAUUAUCAGGGUCAGAGUCAGUCAUCUAGAAGCAUGUAUUUAGUUGUUGGUGGUGGUGGGGUCUCAUGAAGGAGAAUAAUGGGAAGACAAGUGCUUGCAAGUUGUCUCAGUUGUGGCUCAACAUCAUCUGUCUCCCAAUGGAACUAGGAAUGGAAGAAUUAUGUUCAUAGCUUCUUGCCGAGUGACAAUGCUAGCAGGUUAAGUCUACCACUGGUGUUCACAAAAAGCUCCGGAGUUGCUUUCAUACUUCUGGGCACAUCAACCAUUCCGUAUUUGUCAUUAGAUUCUUCCUGCUCAAGGAAUUGGACAUAAUGUUUUUUUUCUUUGAACAAAGAUGGUCAUCAGGUUGACAUUUCUUCUGCCCACAAUGUAUCUUGAGGGCUUUGGUUAAGCUGUCCACCAUGAGUGUGAUAAUCUUGUUCACUAUGAUUUCUGCAAGUUAGUGUAAGCUUUUCUUUUAGGCACUUGAAAUUCCAGCCAUCUUUCAAUGGCUUCAGAGGACAUUGAAUAUGAGCUAGGGGACUAUGGCGAGUUGAUCAGCAUUGCUCUAUGGUUUUUUCUUAAAGGGCAGUGGUCAUAACUGGGGGAAUCUGUCCAUAACUAUAUAUACUGAAGCCAUUCUAGUAACCUGAACUAACAUGGUUUUACACUGUGUCUGCCAACUCCUAGCUGCUUACAAACAAGCCUCACUUGUUAUGGCAUAAUCAGCUGAUUAAGAUGGGGUGUUAGUAGUCUGCUACUAGCAUCUCCUCAUCUAGCAGGGAACCUAGAAAAAAACCUGGGGGAUUUAGGUAUGUGUGAGGGUUAAUAAAUAUAUGCAAAUAGAUAUGUUUGGUUGAAUGAGUUUGGGUUUCAGAUUGUCUCUGUAGUGUGGAUUAAAAAAAAAUACUCCCUGACCUUUUGGUGUAAUGAGAACUCCAGUAACCUGAAAAUAACCAACUUCAUGAUAGUAUGCUCAACAAAAGUAGAGGUUUAAAGGUUCUGGUAACUGGAUCUUAACUUAAUCCAUCAGUCAUAGGGACUUAAAUAGGUUAAGUUCUAUGACGUAGCUCUUGAGCGUGGGGGUGUAAUCUUAAAGUUAUGGUCAGCCUCUAUGGCAAAGUUUUUGAUUGGGCAAUAGUGUUUAAGAUCUAUGAUCCUCCUGGCCUGCCACAUUUUCCUUUAGUGUGAGUGUCACAAGCCAUCCUCCAUGGAUUCUGAACUUAUAAUAUAGUUGCUCACUAUUGUUCCAUAGUUCUCCCAGAUGUUGCUCAUGGAUUUAUUAAAAAAAUCUCCAGUUCUUGUGCCACCAGUGACACUGGGGUUUUAGAUGAAGAUAGCUUCACGAGUGUCAUUAUUGGCAGUCCUACUAUUCAUAUGAUGGUAGAUGAAGUAAGCAUUCUUGGUUGACAAUUGACAAGUGAAGAAACAUGUCUGAUUCUGUGGCUCAUCAUGACUUUUAUAGUGCUCAUCUUUUUGGUGAACUGGUUCCUCCAUGGUUUAUCUUGUUUGUUUCAAGGAAUAUGAAUUAGAAGAGGGUGUGUCCAAGUUCAGCUUAAUUCCAGUGUUCUGUUGUUUUGACUGUCUGUUGAUCCUCUGAUUUAUCUGGAUAUGUCUGCAUUACAUUCCAACCAAAGGAAUUGCUUCAUUGUUUUGUCAUCUGUUAUCAGUGUCGUCCUUGAACCAAAAGUCAGUAAUUGCUGAUUAUUCAAACUGUAAUGCAUAUGACAGUUGGUCAUUGAAUUAUAGUGUUCCAGUGUUGGUUGUUACCAGAACCUAGAUGGGUCAUAGUCAACUGGUGGGUCCCCGAAUGAGUCAGUGCCUGUUAUUUGAUGAACAUGUUGCAGCAAUUGUUCAUGAUGUUCUGAAGUGAUAAGUAGUUAUAGUAAGUUGAGGAUGACCAGUCUACUGGUGCAUUCUACCGAUAUAGCAUGGUGAGAUCAAAUUAUUUAUUUUGGUAUAUGGCUUAAAUCCAAAGCUAGUUAGUUAAUUUUUGCAUGUUGUGGCCAUUGUUUGUGGUGACAAAGUCAGCCUUGUCUCCCUUUGCUAAUACACAGAUCAAGCUGCUACAAGACUCUGUGUUGAAGUUGUUGUACAGUAAAAUUGUUUCUUUUCCACAGCUAUCUGUGUACAGAAAAUAUCUUCCUAUUGUACUGUGCUCUAACCAUUCCCUUUAGCAACAGAUAGCCAGUUUACCACCUCUUCUUUCAUGAAGAGCCCCAUCACUUGGCUAUUUUCAUUCAUGGGCAAAAUGCAUAAGUUAAAUAAGAGGUUUGUCCCUGUAAGAAAACUGGGAUUUCAUAGGUUUCCAAACAUUGUAAAAACACUGAGUGUCAAUAUAUUACUGUGCUGUAGAGUUGGCCUAUAAAGGAAGGGUUUCUUAAACUAUUCCCAAAGAACUGCUUUAACUCCAUUCAUGAAUAAGCUUAUGUAUAAUUUUACAACAUUCUCUCUUAUGGCCUCAAGUUUGCUGUAAUUUUUUUUUUACCUUGUCAUUGAUCCUACAGAAAACCUAGUGUUAAGGUAUUUUUGGACUAGGUUUUACAAUAUUUGGGUGCUUUUAAGUUUUUUUCUAUAUGGACAAUAAUUCUACUAUUGGGAUAAUUUUUCUAAAAUUUGACAAAACUUUUGUGAUGAAGCAUAUUCUAAAAGAAAAUGUAUAGCUUCAAAAUAUUGUCAACUGAACUAAUGAUAUUUUUAUUAUCAAUUUCAUGGGGCAUCUCUUCAUCUUGAAUGCAAACUGUCCACAUAUUGCUAGCACAGAGCUGACAUGGUACAAUGUACUAGUGGUCAUUGUCAUCAUCAUCUAGCUCAGUAAAGUUUUUGUCAGGUUUCUAUUACAGAUAUUUUAUGACUUUAUCUUUCUCUUUCCUCUUUCCUGUGGCCUUUCCACCUUAAUUCUCCUCAGAUUCAAGUGUUCAUCAAUGCUUUUUCUCCACAAUCUUCUGGGUUUUCUAAUUGGUGGAUAUCCAGUUAAUUUCAUGGCUAACACUUCAAGUAACUCUUCCUCUUUUUUUAUUACAAGGUAGACCAUCUAUUAUCUAUUUCCCAUUUUCUGGAAACCACAUCUUUCCACCACUGGUUUUGCAUAAUAUUGCUCAGAUAUCACAUAUGCCAAAUACAGUGAUUGAAAGAACAUUAAUUAUUGAUGUACAAUACUAUAUUUAACAGAUGCAUUUGCAAGUCAAUAUAUUUUCUCCAAACAGUUUAAAAUAUUUUUUGCACAGUGCAACAGAAAAAUCAUUUGAAGUGUAUUAAAGUACUGUGCUGGCAAAUGUUUGUCCUGUGUUAGCUCUGUGCUCCAAUUAGCUGGAUUGCAUCACUGGGGAAAUAUGUGUUAUUCUUGACUGUUGAGAAGAUACAGGUAUUCCAAUGUUGUUACUAUAUACUUUGCAAUUUGUUCUCUUGUGGACAUGUAUACCAAAUGCUUGUGUUGAUAUUGCUUAUCUCAAUAUGGAAGGUGCCUAGAAAAUAUAUUUUAUGUAAACUGUGAUAAUAGCACAUUGUAAGUAAUAAAAUAUUUUGCUCUUACAUUAUAUAAAACAAAUUUAUUUCCAAAAUUUUGUCAUGUGUCUUGAGUACUGGAGUUGACAACUCCAGUAAUUUUGGAAGACUUUUAUCAAUAAACAUAAAAAUAAA